CAGCAGCCGCGGUAAUACGGAGGGUGCAAGCGUUAAUCGGAAUUACUGGGCGUAAAGCGCACGCAGGCGGUCUGUCAAGUCAGAUGUGAAAUCCCCGGGCUUAACCUGUGAACUGCAUUUGAAACUGGCAGGCUAGAGUCUUGUAGAGGGGGGUAGAAUUCCAGGUGUAGCGGUGAAAUGCGUAGAGAUCUGGAGGAAUACCGGUGGCGAAGGCGGCCCCCUGGACAAAGACUGACGCUCAGGUGCGAAAGCGUGGGGAGCAAACAGGAUUAGAUACCCCGGUAGUCCCUGUCUCUUAUAC
RNAcentral lists this ribosomal RNA (301 nucleotides) under uncultured bacterium. Its description in RNAcentral is "partial 16S ribosomal RNA". It matches the Rfam family "Bacterial small subunit ribosomal RNA", at positions 509 to 807 of the family's 1533-position model. The record is from RNAcentral.